AUUUUCAUCAGUCGUCUGCUGUAGUGUUUGUCAGUUCAACCAGAGUGGUCGCCAAUUGAUAGAGCUGUCAGAAUCCUUGAUUAUAUUCUAUUCAAGCAUAUUUUCAUGGUGAAAGUUUUCUUCGUAAAUUUGUUAGUUGUGUUUCUUUUAAUGUUCUAAACGACUGUCGUUUGUCAUUUGUUUUCAAAUCAAUAAUUAUGUUUGUGAAGCAGACGAUAUGUUUUCAUUUCUAAGAAACUUGGUGUAGACGUCUGUUUUUUUCCUUAAUUUGGAAAGGUGUGUUGACUGAAAAGAUGUUUUUCACUGGAGGAUCUGGGUAUAUCGGAAGCCCCUGUGUAGUUGAGCUUAUGGAACUGGCUAUCUGGUUAUUUCUUGCGAGAAGUUUGGGAAGAUUGGCUGCUUCUGGAAGUGAUAGCAUUCAGCUAAGCCGAGUAAUAAAAGAAAUAACCUUAACAUUGCCAAGGAAUAAGUCAUUGGAAAGAAUAAUUCACUAUACAGUAGCGAAGAAGUUAACGGCGAAGAAGUUAAAUCUCAAGAACAGAGCUGAGAAACGCCCAAUUGAUAAUUCUACCAGCAAAGAUUCAUCAAGUAGUUCAUUCAGGGCUGAGAAAGAGAAGUCAAAGUUGCAGAAGGAGCUGUUGUCUUCUGUUGUCUCUGCAGUCGAGCUUAUUUCUCAAGUUGAGUCAGCCUACAAAGAAAGGGCCAGUUAAAACGUACACCAAGCAAGUAGAAAAGUUAGAUUUGCAAUUUCAUGAGUACACACUCUAAGUGGAAGAGCUCAACAGCAUAUUAUCGACAUCAGCAGCCACAAAACUCGAAAAAAUUGAAGCAAGGAAGUUCGAUAGCUGAAAUUCAGCUACGAAAAUAUCAGCUAUAUGAAGACCAACUCAGCUCAAGCCAAAUCAAUUCGAACAUCUGCGUCGUCGCUUUGAAGACAAAGAACGCAUCCAAGUAGGCCUACGAACCCAGCUAGCAUGUCUUUAUUGGUAAAAUAUUUUUUUCCGACAAUAUUCUUCGAUCGAUAACCCACAUAUUGGUAUAAUAU
This is an RNA transcript of Daphnia pulex (common water flea), 1045 nucleotides long. RefSeq lists it as uncharacterized. The record is from RefSeq and is a predicted model, not a curated record. The transcript has 6 exons. Lineage: Eukaryota; Metazoa; Arthropoda; Branchiopoda; Diplostraca; Daphniidae.